UUUUUUCAUAAGAAUGGGUUCUAUUCCCUUAAACCGUGUCUACAUACCUUUGUUGCUUUGGCAGGCCGCCUUCGGGCGUCGGCUCCGGCUGAUAGUGCCUGCCAGAGGACCCAAACUCUAUGUUUAGUGAUGUCUGAGUACUAUAUAAUAUUUAAAACUUUCAACAACGGAUCUCUUGGUUCUGGCAUCGAUGAAGAACGCAGCGAAAUGCGAUAAGUAAUGUGAAUUGCAGAAUUCAGUGAAUCAUCGAAUCUUUGAACGCACAUUGCGCCCUGUGGUAUUCCGCAGGGCAUGCCUGUUCGAGCGUCAUUUCAACCCAUCAAGCUUCGGCUUGGUCUUGGGGCCUGCGGUUUCACAGCCUCUAAACCCAGUGGCGGUGCUAUUGAGCUCUGAGCGUAGUAAUUUCUCUCGCUAUAGAGUCUCGGUGGUGACUUGCCAACAACCCCCAAUUUUUAUCAGGUUGACCUCGGAUCAGGUAGGGAUACCCGCUGAACUUAAGCAUAUC
This 505-nucleotide ribosomal RNA is filed under the name uncultured Helotiales. RNAcentral describes it as "eukaryotic LSU rRNA". The stretch from base 156 to 309 matches the Rfam family "5.8S ribosomal RNA". The record is from RNAcentral. Lineage: Eukaryota; Fungi; Ascomycota; Leotiomycetes; Helotiales.